Molecule: RNA transcript, 1314 nt
Organism: Oncorhynchus tshawytscha (Chinook salmon)
Lineage: Eukaryota; Metazoa; Chordata; Actinopteri; Salmoniformes; Salmonidae
Gene name: CCAAT/enhancer-binding protein zeta
Exons: 7
Source: RefSeq, a predicted model, not a curated record
UCCUGUUCGAUACAUACAAAUCCAAAUAGAACCCGGACAUUUCUUACAAAUAUAAGUAUGCCGUUUUAGAGUAUAGACAUCACAAGGAUUUUCUUUCAACAGGCAGUUACCGUACAUUGUUCUUCCAGGUCCUGUCGUAUUUCUACAUGACGCUGUCAGCAUGGCACCGAAAGCAAAAGAACGUAAGGCGGCAGUAGCCAAAACAAAUUAUGUUCAUGUGAAGGACGAGUUUGAAAAUGACAACGAUGAAGGAGAGGAUGAGGAAAAAGAGAACGUGUAUGGUGAUAGUCCUCAACCGAACGACGAAUUUAAUUUGGACGAGGUUUUGCGUUUGGGUGGAACCCGAACCUGGAUGAUGACUUGGCUGGUGAUCUGGAUGAGAAGGUGUCCCUAGGCAGUUUGGAUGAGGAGGACUUUGGAGAUGAACUUGGGGAGGAGGGAGGGGCCUUCAUGGACAGCAUUGGAGAGGAUGAUGAGGAAGGUUCACACUUGACUCUAAUUUGUCUUUUAGUUCCAGAACUUGAUAACACUGAUUCAGAUGAGAUGGAGGUUCCACACACAAGGCCAGGUUCUAAAAAGAGGAAGGCAUCAGAGGAUCUUGACUUCAGUGGUUCUUUAGGUUCCAAACCAGGAAAGGAAAGGAGGAAACAGCCAUGUUGGCAUCUGCUGAAGAGUUUGUGUAUAUGUUGGAUGAAAAUGCUGGUUCUAAGUUUGACAACAUUGGCAUGAAUGCUAUGGCCAACAAAGACAAAGCAGGCGUCAGGCAGCUCAAGUGGGAAGCCCAGAGAGACGACUGGGUCCGAGACAUCAAGACCCUAAUGAAGAAGAAGGCCAUGUUUAACAAGAAGAAACAGUUUGGCAAACCAAGGGCUGGCAAAAAUACUUUCAAGAAGAAGUAAUACUUUCUGGACCUAAGAUUACUUAUGUUUGUUUUCACACACCUCUAUUCCUUCUUGGACCAAUCUUCAAGGUCUUUCUCUCGAAUCCCAUAAACUCCAGCAUAUUCGUUGGACUUGUAAUAAACUGGAAAGAGAGUGAUAGUGUCUCUCAGCAUUCAACACAUUUAAUCACAUGAUGGUUCAGUGGGCAACAUGCCCACUGUAGCAAAAUGUUUUGCAACUGUUUCCACUAAUGAAUACACCGGUGUAUUGCCUCAAUCUAACCCUGUUGCCAGUUCCAGGUUGUACUGCCAAUCAUUGGAGAAACUACUAAAUACCUGUGAAAUGAUGUAUUCUCUGUAUAGCUAUUUUAACUCUGUAUUGUAUUUUGUAUAUGUUUAUACAAGAAAUACAAAAUGAAAACAGUAUACUAGGA